GGGUAUUUCAAAACCCUAUAGAGUAGAGUUCCCUGUGCUAUACAUAGGUCCUUGUUGGUUAUCUAUUUUAUACACAGUACAGUGUCUAGAUGUUAAUCCCAACCUCCUAGUUUAUUCCCUGCCCCACCCGCUUUCCCCUUUGGCAACCAUAAGUUUGCUUUCUCUCUGGUGAGUCUCUUUCUAAACGGGCCGUUUUUAAGAAAUUGAGACAUCUAUCGAUCUGCCUACAACAUUCACCUAGGCAGAGAAUCCUGGGAAACCUUGUUUUUUGGAAUUCUCUGCUGUCCAGUGGCUGUUCCGUCUUGAGUGCUGCAGCAGACAUGUGAGCAGAAGCCUUCCCUGGGCUCCUAGCAGUCUUCUCAUUAGACUCCUCUGGGCACAUCCAGCCUCCACCCACUCAUCUUCCAUGGUUGCAGGUAACCAAGGCCUCACAUACGGUAUAUUGCAGCCAACAGGAAUUCAGUCAACUUUAGGACAUCCCAGCUGUACAUGUUACAUCAAGUCACCAGCUUGCUGAUGGCAACCACGGCAUAAUUUGGUCUGGAGGAGACCGGAAGAAUUGAGAGAGUUCAAGACUUGUCCGUGAGUCCCCAAAGGUCCCAUAGCCUUGGAACUGAGCCCAGCUCUGCCCAAAACCCAGGGAUUCAGGAAUGGGGGAUUUUCUAAGGCUGGUUUACUUCUUGCGUACAUGUACACAUGCACACACGCACUCACACACACACACACACGCAUGUACGUAAUUGUUUUGAGAGUCAAGCUGCUUCUUUACUGAGAGCUGCCUUUCCAUAAAAAGAGGUCAGUUGCUUCUUCUGGAAGCCAUGCUAGCCUUUGGCUGGCCCCAGAAUUUCUCCCAUUCGACCAGUCCCUCUCUGGGCUGGGAGUCACAAGCAUUGUUCCCAAGAGCUGCCUGGCACUGCUUUUCCUAAGGACUGGAAAUUUUUGAGAACAAGAGCCAGGAUAGACUUUUUGAAAUUCCUUACAAUACUUUCAAAAAUAUAUACACUUAAAAAGUAACCCAGUGGUGGUGUUCCCUGGUGGCACAGUGGGUUAAGGAUCCAGUGUUGUCACUGCAGUGACUUGGGUUGCUGCUGUGGCCUGGGUUUGAUCCCUGGCCUGGAAACUUACACAUGCCUCAAGCACAGUGUCUCCCCCUCCCCCCAAAGGUAACCCAAUGAACAGCAAACAUUUUCUAUACUUUUAAAGUGUCUCCUGAUCUUGGCUUAUGAUAUAAUCAUGCAUUUUUUAUAGACCCCCAUCUCUGUGUGUUUCUUUUGCAUUUUACUUUCUGUCUAAAUAUCCUGCAGUAUACACUGCAAAACAUUUCCAUGUGUUUCAGUUAUUUGUUACUGUGUAACAAACUUCCUCAAUAUUUAGUGGCUUAAAACAACCUUGAUGUAUUAUUUUUCAGGAUCCUGUGAGUUGGGGGCUGGGUGAUUCUUCUGCUCCAUAGGGUGUUACUCAGAUAGCUGCAUUUUGCUGGGAGCUCAGCUGGGCAGCUUUGUUCCUUUUCUUGAGCU
RNAcentral lists this long non-coding RNA (1517 nucleotides) under Sus scrofa (pig). Its description in RNAcentral is "lncRNA (ENSSSCG00070007405.1)". Lineage: Eukaryota; Metazoa; Chordata; Mammalia; Artiodactyla; Suidae. The record is from RNAcentral.